This 94-nucleotide small nucleolar RNA is filed under the name Dasypus novemcinctus (nine-banded armadillo). RNAcentral describes it as "Small nucleolar RNA U83B (ENSDNOG00000048012.1)". It matches the Rfam family "Small nucleolar RNA U83B". Rfam says of the family: U83B belongs to the C/D family of snoRNAs. U83B like U83A has no documented RNA target and they share the same host gene with the C/D box snoRNA U43 (RPL3). The record is from RNAcentral. Lineage: Eukaryota; Metazoa; Chordata; Mammalia; Cingulata; Dasypodidae.
GCUGUUCAGUGAUGAAACUGUGGAAUGAGCGCUGGGCACAGCGCCUGAGUCAAUCUGAGGAAACAUUCCAUGCUGCCUUCCUUCUGAGAACAGC